UUUUGCUUUCUGACAUUUCCCCAUGGACUUCUUUGAGUUGCAAGUUUUUUCUUAAUUAUUAUUUUAAAUUUUAUUUACUUUUAGGUGCAUAGCAUGUGGGAUCUUUGUUCCCUGACCAGGGACUGAACUUGUGUCUCCAGGACUGGAAGUAUGGAGUCUUAACCACUGGAUUGCCAUGGAAAUCCAAAGUUGUAAGAUUUUAAAGGACUUUGUUUGACAUAUUAAAGACAGGGUAAAUGGGAGCCAAUGAGUCAGUUACAAACUCUGCAAAUAACAUAUGUACCUUGGUGUUCCUGCUGAUUUUACUAAACCUCGACCACGAGUUCCUGAGACAGACAUACUGAAUCUGAACCUCCAGAAGUCUAUUCCAGCCCUUUCUCCAGAGAUGCAAACCCAAAGGCUUGAACUGGCUUGGCACAACCUCAGGAGGCUCGGGCAGAAUUUCCCUUUACAUGUGGUUAUUCAAGAUCUUGGACAUAGGCCACGUCUGCCUGAUGCUGGGAAAGACUGAAGGCAGGAGAAGGGGAUGACAGAGGACGAGAUGGCUGGAUGGCAUCACUGACUCAAUGGACAUGAGUUUGAGCAAGCUCCAGGAGAUGGUGAUGGACAGGGAAGCCUGGCACGGUGCAGUCCAUGGGGUCGCAAAGAGUUGGACACGGCUGAGCGACUGAACAACAACAACAUCUGCCAAGGGGAAUUGAGAGUGUUUCCUCUCUGCUCUCUCAUCUCUGUUUGCUCCUCUCCUAGUAAUGGAACUGAAAAGUAUGAGUUACUGUGAAGGACCAUGAGGCCAUGAAGCCAACCUGAGAGAACAAAGCUUGUACAGAUGUCGUUUCCCACCACCCCGAGUGGCAGCUGUGGCCUGGCCUUAUUCAGAGAGUAGGCAAAGUCCCCACUUUGCAUUUCAGAUGGCAGGAUGGAGAAUUUCACAGCUCUUUGGCCUGUGCCUGAAGCUUCCAUUAAUUUUGGUGACUGGUGGUUGUUCACAAACCUCUUAUAUUAUUUCCAUGGUUCCCCGGCCCUCAUCCAAGCCUGCCUCACAUACCUGGAUGCCCACUGCUCAUCUAGCAGUUUCUGCCUUAGCCCGUCCUGGGCCUGAACUAGCUGCAGAUGCCAGAGAGGACAUAGUCCCUCAUCGGAUAUAUGCCCUCAUCUGUCUCCUGUCACAGAGGCCCAUGGGUGACCUGGGAUCACAGAUGAGGACACUGAGAUUCAGAGAGGCAUCAUGUUGGAAGCUUCAGUGGAGAGAAAGCGGCUGGAGUUGGAGCUCAGCUCUGUAUGAAUCUGCACUCUUCAUCCUAACUGAGAUGAAGUGAAGUGAAAUCGUUCAGUCGUGUCUGACUCUUUGCGACCCCAUGGAUUGCAGCCUCCCAGGCUCCUCUGCCCAUGGGAUUUUCCAGACAAUAGUCCCGGAGUGGAUUGUCAUUUCUUUCUCCAGGGGAUCUUCCCAAUAUCUACCUGGGUUCGAUACCAGGGCUCGAACCCAGGUAUCCCACACUGUAGACAGACGCUUUACUGUCUGAACCACCAGAGAACCUAAUUACUCCCUUUUCCUGAGUGCAGAAACCACCGAUAAGGCCCUGUGACAAGGGCUUUAAAUGCAUCAUCAUACAAAAUUCUCAGUUUGGAUAGCAGGUUCUAUCAUGAUCCCAAUUUCACAGAUGAAGGAGCAAUCUUAGAGGAUUUAACAGGAUGGUUUGUAAGUCCCACAGAUAGGAAAUGGUGUAGAGAUAUUCAAAUAGAGGCCCUCGAUUCUGAGAGCCCAAAUGUUAAAGCACUAGCUUGUCUCACUUUCCGUGGUCAUGACAGGAGUGGGUGUCUCUGCAUGGCAUGUAAUCUACAGGCCUCUCCCUGCCCUGUGUCCCCUAAGUCUGGGAUCAGUUGAAGUGACUGAAUGAGCACUGAGGCCCUGCUCACUAGCCUCAGCUCUUAUUGCCCAGAGAUCUGCAUUUUACCCUGGAAGGUCAGCCUGCUGAGAGUAUUGCCACCACUGACAAUGAGGCACUGUUGCCUCAGCUUAACGAAGGAGCAGAGUGGCCUCUCCUGCCAGCUGCAGGCCUCUGUAAUGGAUCCAUGAUAAAUCUUUCUAGCAGCAUCUCAACUCAACCAAAGUGCCAAUCUCAUGGCACCUUUAGGUGCUCAGAGUCUGGCCUACAGUGCAAAUAAGGUCCAUGACCCACAGGGAGACAGCUGCUAGCAGUGGCCUCUGAUAAACAGGGGAGCUGGUAGCUAUAUGCACUGCAGGCUAUUUAAGACAUACCAAUGGGUCUUGAGCUGCAGGGCCCCAUGGCUUGCAGUGCAUGAUUCAAGAAGUAGAUUCAUUAGCAGAAGGGACAUAUCAAGAGUCAAAUGCAAAACCCAUGAGAAUGAUGCCCAGAGUCUUCUGUGCCCAUAUACCUCAGUAAGCUUUAGGAUACAGCUAGGAAUUGCUAGAUGGCCUGGGGGAAGAUGUUUCUGGAAGCACUACCACCCACAGUGUGGCCAGAGCUCCAGGGAGCAGUUAACUCUGGCAAUAGUUUGCCAGGAUGUCUUCUAAUUUCUUUGUUCAAAGGGUCUCUGGGCCACCUCUACCAUGAGCAGAGGGUUAGCCCUGUGUUGUGAACCUGCUGUGUGGUAGCGGCAUGUAAUUCUAGGUUGCAGCAGAUGUGUUAUAGCCCUGAGACAUUUUCAGGAUUCCUUGGGAAAUGCUAUUGCAUAGCAGUUUGGGGGAUUAAAUUGUGAGCUGUGGCAGCAACCAUAUUUAAUAUGAGGAUUUGCUUUUGGUAUUACGGUCUUGUGGGGUGGAACUGGCAAAGUGG
This is a long non-coding RNA of Capra hircus (goat), 2798 nucleotides long. NCBI's taxonomy places the organism in Eukaryota, Metazoa, Chordata, Mammalia, Artiodactyla, Bovidae. The record is from Ensembl.